AGCAGCCGCGGUAAUUCCAGCUCCAAUAGCGUAUAUUAAAGUUGUUGCAGUUAAAAAGCUCGUAGUUGAAUUUCGGGACCAAUAUGUCGGUCGUACUUUGUACGUACUAGCAUUAUUGGUUUCUCCCUUCUGAAGAACCGCGAUGUCAUUAAUUUGGUGUCGUGGGGAAUCAGGACUGUUACUUUGAAAAAAUUAGAGUGUUUAAAGCAGGCUCGCGCUUGAAUACAUUAGCAUGGAAUAAUGAAAUAGGACGUUUGAUUCUAUUUUGUGGUUUCUAGGAUCGACGUAAUGAUUAAUAGGGAUAGUUGGGGGCAUUAGUAUUCAAUUGUCAGAGGUGAAAUUCUUGGAUUUAUUGAAGACUAGCUACUGCGAAAGCAUUUGCCAAGGAUGUUUUCAUUAAUCAAGAACGAAAGUUAGGGGAUCGAAGACGAUCAGAUACCGUCGUAGUCUUAACAUAAACUAUGCCGACUAGGGAUCGGAUGAUGUUAAUUUUUAAUGACUCAUUCGCGCCUUACGGGAA
Molecule: ribosomal RNA, 520 nt
Filed under: uncultured Glomeraceae
Lineage: Eukaryota; Fungi; Glomeromycota; Glomeromycetes; Glomerales; Glomeraceae
Description: SSU rRNA
Rfam family: Eukaryotic small subunit ribosomal RNA
Source: RNAcentral